RNAcentral lists this long non-coding RNA (271 nucleotides) under Homo sapiens (human). Its description in RNAcentral is "HSALNT0180058". The record is from RNAcentral. Lineage: Eukaryota; Metazoa; Chordata; Mammalia; Primates; Hominidae.
AUUUGGUCAACUGAACCAAAAUUUCAAUUUCCACAAUGCUAAUAUUUAUUCUGCUGGAACAAUCAGCUACAGCUAACUGCCAAUUCUUCAGUCUGAAUAACUUGUUCAGGUGGAGGACGGUCAGAAGAGGGCACCACUAGUCACCGAGAACACUAGUUCGCUAUUCCUAGAGCAGUACUAUACAGGGACUUCAGUGAGUCAUAAGCUCAGUUAGUUGUCAACUUUGGAGAAGUGGGAAGCUAAGAAUAACUGAACACCUAGUUAUUAUGUA